GGUAAAAUGACUGAUUAUAGGUAAUAAAUUGUAAAUUUAUUUAUGAAAUAAAAUAUUUCUUUUACC
RNAcentral lists this transfer RNA (66 nucleotides) under Dichotrachelus manueli. RNAcentral describes it as "tRNA-Tyr". The record is from RNAcentral. Lineage: Eukaryota; Metazoa; Arthropoda; Insecta; Coleoptera; Curculionidae.